UCCUUUCUUAUGUUAAAGUCUCCGGCA
Molecule: unclassified non-coding RNA, 27 nt
Filed under: Mus musculus (house mouse)
Lineage: Eukaryota; Metazoa; Chordata; Mammalia; Rodentia; Muridae
Description: oocyte_clustered_small_RNA9115
Source: RNAcentral